GGGCAUUAAAUGCUUCUCUCACCCUGAAGGUCUUUUCAAGUUUAUAAAAACUCCUCAGUUUUGCAGUGGAGCAAAUGUCAGGCUUCUUCAAGUUUUUUUCCAGAAACUGAACUGGGCACCAUAGUUGGAGCAUCUUGCAGAGCCCUAAACUCUCCUCCUCCUUCUGCCUAAGGCCAGCCUGCAAAUUUUGGACCCUGUUUUCUCACCCCCAAAGCAAAAAACUGAGUUGCAGUGUGAGUCACCUUGUUACAGAGCACAGGAGAGCACGCACUUACUUUGCUUACAGCAAGGACUUCAGCCCAGGACUUCUGUGCUCCAGGUCACCUUGGUAUUCAGAUGGUCUGCGACAGAGGAAGCAUGAAGGGAGGAGGCUAAGUGCCAGUGGUGGAAGUCACACUCUGAAGGUGAUCUGCUGUGACCCCAAAGCUUUCCGACAUUUUUUUUUGCCUUGGUUGUGAUAGAGAGGAAGAAAGUCUUCUUCUCC
This 484-nucleotide long non-coding RNA is filed under the name Gallus gallus (chicken). RNAcentral's name for it is "long non-coding RNA NONGGAT004664". Lineage: Eukaryota; Metazoa; Chordata; Aves; Galliformes; Phasianidae. The record is from RNAcentral.